Molecule: ribosomal RNA, 423 nt
Filed under: uncultured archaeon
Lineage: Archaea
Description: bacterial SSU rRNA
Rfam family: Archaeal small subunit ribosomal RNA
Source: RNAcentral
UCGAGCGGUGCAAGACCUCGGCAUACUGCUCAGUAACACGUGGACAAUCUAACCUAAGGUGGGGGAUAACCCCGGGAAACUGGGGAUAAUACCCCAUAGACUAUGGGUGCUGGAAUGCUCUGUAGUUGAAAGGUCCGCCGCCAUAGGAUGAGUCUGCGGCCGAUUAGGUUGUUGUUGGGGUAACGGCCCAACAAGCCUGUAAUCGGUACGGGUUGUGGGAGCAAGAGCCCGGAGAUGGAUUCUGAGACACGAAUCCAGGCCCUACGGGGCGCAGCAGGCGCGAAAACUUUACAAUGCGGGAAACCGUGAUAAGGGAACUCCGAGUGCCCGUAAAAUCGGGCUGUCCACCAGUGCAAAUAACUGGUGAAGAAAGGGCCGGGCAAGACCGGUGCCAGCCGCCGCGGUAAUACCGGCGGCUCGAGU